UGGGGAAUAUUGGACAAUGGGCGAAAGCCUGAUCCAGCCAUGCCGCGUGUGUGAAGAAGGUCUUCGGAUAGUAAAGCACUUUAAGUUGGGAGGAAGGGCAGUAAGCGAAUACCUUGCUGUUUUGACGUUACCGACAGAAUAAGCACCGGCUAACUCUGUGCCAGCAGCCGCGGUAAUACAGAGGGUGCAAGCGUUAAUCGGAAUUACUGGGCGUAAAGCGCGCGUAGGUGGUUCGUUAAGUUGAAUGUGAAAGCCCCGGGCUCAACCUGGGAACUGCAUCCAAAACUGGCGAGCUAGAGUAGGGCAGAGGGUGGUGGAAUUUCCUGUGUAGCGGUGAAAUGCGUAGAUAUAGGAAGGAACACCAGUGGCGAAGGCGACCACCUGGGCUCAUACUGACACUGAGGUGCGAAAGCGUGGGGAGCAAACAAG
This 429-nucleotide ribosomal RNA is filed under the name Pseudomonadota bacterium. RNAcentral's name for it is "Proteobacteria bacterium partial 16S ribosomal RNA". It matches the Rfam family "Bacterial small subunit ribosomal RNA", at positions 355 to 776 of the family's 1533-position model. The record is from RNAcentral. Lineage: Bacteria; Pseudomonadati; Pseudomonadota.